Molecule: ribosomal RNA, 666 nt
Filed under: Triticum aestivum (bread wheat)
Lineage: Eukaryota; Viridiplantae; Streptophyta; Magnoliopsida; Poales; Poaceae
Description: partial small subunit ribosomal RNA
Source: RNAcentral
GUUGCCCUCGAUGACGACAUAGGAGACUCGAUUAUCUGGAAGUUCAUCAAAGAUGGGGUUUACUCGGCAUCCUUGGCCUACAAGGCCCAAUUUGAAGGUCACACCACUUCGGAUCUCGUCCACUCUGUGUGGAAGGUGUGGGCCCCUCCCAGGUGCAUUUUUUGUGCUUGGCUUGUUCUUCAAGAUAGGAUUUGGACUUCGGACCGAUUGAGCUGCCGUUGUUGGCCCAAUUGCGGUCUCUGUCCUCUUUGAAAACAAGCCCAAGAAACCGCGGCUCACCUGCUCUACCAAUGUUGAUACACCAUGUGAAUUUGGAACGACAUCCUUUCGUGGUUUGGCUUGCACCAUAUCAUUACAUUGGCUUGGGCGGUGAGAGCCUCGAUCAGAGAAUGGUGGAUCGGUAACGUUUAGAUUCGUCUCGGCUCUCCGAAGGCGCUUGCCUCCCUCAUGAUGCUCAUUUCUUGGGAGGUUUGGUCCAAACGCAAUGCUAGAGUCUUUCGCAACUUGGCGGUACCUUCCAUGGUCAUCAUCCGCAAAGUCAAGCAGGAGGUGUCUUAUACAGGCUUUAGCUGGAGCGAAACAUUUGGGUGUUGUAAUGCUGCGAGAGUGGUCCUUUUAUUUGCCGCUUUCUGGCUUCUGUCUAAAACCUUCUCUCUUAAUCAAUGA